AAUAGGGUGACCAGGAAGUGCGAACU
Molecule: non-coding RNA, 26 nt
Filed under: Cricetulus griseus (Chinese hamster)
Lineage: Eukaryota; Metazoa; Chordata; Mammalia; Rodentia; Cricetidae
Source: RNAcentral